AUCACCAGUGGUAUUACUACAGCAGUGUCACAGAGCCAAAGGCCUCAGUCUCACCGGUUACCACCAUCAGUAUGUCCAGCUUGGUGCUGUUUCUAAGAGAGGUUCUCAGGGAGGUCCCUGGAUGGCUGCUGUGGUUUGGGGUCUUCCUGCCUGUCACUCUGCUGUUGAUACAGAUCAUGGUUUACCUGAAUUGGAAGCUGAAGGAAGUAGAGGCAGAGUUGUCUGCAGCACCUUACCCCAUGGACAUGGCCUCCAGGCAGCACAACAGAACCACAUCACCCAGGCAGAGACGACGGGCUGGGGGGAGAAUGUACACCUAAGAAUGGGAAGUGUGGAUGGCCCCACGCUGGAUAUUGCCCUGCUGGGUACAGUACAGCCUUCUGAGAACUCAUAUGCAAACAGAACAGUGUCACAGUGAGAGUACAGUGGAUGGAGAUGCUGAAUACAAGUACUGAGGACUAUCCACCACCAGAUCAUGGAUAAAACACGAGCUAAGCCAUGGAUUGAGUGAAGCAACAACCAAUAUGGAAUUCCAAAUUACAGUUAACAAGGUGUUGGAAUGCAGAGACAAAGUGCAUUUUUUAUUGCUGCAAUUAUAGUGUUUAUUAUACCUUUCUAAGAAUGGUUCAAGAUAUUUUCAGAAUAUUUCCUUAUGGUUGAAAAGGUUAAGAAACUGAGAAGUCCACAAAAAGCUUUUGUUAAAGGGAUACUUCAGUGUUUUGGUACUGAGGCCCUUUAUCUACUUCCGCAGAGUCAGAUUAACUUGUGGAUACUGUUUUCAUGUCUCUGCGUGUAGUUUUAAGGAAGUUGCUAGCAUGCUAGCAGAUACCCAUAGACUUCCCAUGUAUUGUAUUAAAGAAUGUCAUUUUUAUGAUAAUAUAUUUACUUAGGAUCUCACUUGGUGAAGGCCAAAAGACUGAACAUUGAAUGCAACAACCAUGUCUCUGUCACUAACACAUACAGUCAUGGGUGGUAACUCUACAAUUCAUUCGAAAGGCAAGGCACUCUGGAAAAUAUACAAAUAAGCCUUUACAGUAAGAGGCGCUUUACAGUAGCAUUAUUAGUACAGUAAAUCAAAUACAGUAACAGUAUUAGAUACCAUAAAAUACAGUACGGUAAAACUGUUCCUUUUUAUUUGACAGUAACUUAUAGGAAACUGGCUGCCAGUAAGUUACUGUCUAAACAACUUUUCUUUUUGCACAGUGCAUAUGUUCUAGUGUGUAGUUCCAGUAGUUAGCUACAUUGCAAAAAAAGUAAUUAACUACUGCAAAAUGUAGUUCAAUUACUAGCUGAACUACAUGUAGUUCACUACUCCCUAACAAUGGUAAAAAAGGAACCAAACUCAUCCAAUCAGAGAAUAACAACAUUUUAUUUCAACAGUGUUACACAGAGGGUGGGGUGGCUGUGGGGGAGACAACAUUUUAAAGCUGCUAAAAAUCUAAGAUUAUUUGCUAUACACUGGGCCCAAAUAGCAAAUUGGUGAGGUUUGUCAGAUU
Long non-coding RNA from Oncorhynchus kisutch (coho salmon), 1496 nucleotides. RefSeq lists it as uncharacterized. The transcript has 2 exons. NCBI's taxonomy places the organism in Eukaryota, Metazoa, Chordata, Actinopteri, Salmoniformes, Salmonidae. The record is from RefSeq and is a predicted model, not a curated record.